AUCUAAGUAGUUUAUUAGAAUAUUGUAUUGAAGCUACAGAGGAAAAUUUAUAUUUCUUAGAUA
RNAcentral lists this transfer RNA (63 nucleotides) under Criotettix japonicus. RNAcentral's name for it is "tRNA-Phe". The record is from RNAcentral. Lineage: Eukaryota; Metazoa; Arthropoda; Insecta; Orthoptera; Tetrigidae.